RNAcentral lists this microRNA precursor (112 nucleotides) under Medicago truncatula (barrel medic). Its description in RNAcentral is "MIR5294 microRNA precursor family". It matches the Rfam family "MIR5294 microRNA precursor family". The record is from Rfam by way of RNAcentral. Lineage: Eukaryota; Viridiplantae; Streptophyta; Magnoliopsida; Fabales; Fabaceae.
GAGAGGUCCCUUCCCUCAGUCGUUUAGCUAUUUAAAUGUCAUCUCAUCAGACGGUUAAAACUAUUCUGAACAUUCUGGUGCUAAACGGAAUGAGGGUAGUUAUUCCUCUCAU